RNAcentral lists this ribosomal RNA (402 nucleotides) under bacterium. RNAcentral's name for it is "partial 16S ribosomal RNA". It matches the Rfam family "Bacterial small subunit ribosomal RNA", at positions 355 to 776 of the family's 1533-position model. The record is from RNAcentral.
UGGGGAAUUUUGCACAAUGGGGGAAACCCUGAUGCAGCGACGCCGCGUGAUUUAGAAGGCCUUCGGGUUGUAAAAAUCUUUUCUAUGGGAAGAAAAUGACAGUACCAUAGGAAUAAGGACCGGCUAAUUACGUGCCAGCAGCCGCGGUAAUACGUAAGGUCCGAGCGUUGUCCGGAAUCAUUGGGCGUAAAGGGUACGUAGGCGGGUAAGCAAGUUAGAAGUGAAAUCCUAUAGCUCAACUAUAGUAAGCUUUUAAAACUGCUCAUCUUGAGGUAUGGAAGGGAAAGUGGAAUUCCUAGUGUAGCGGUGAAAUGCGCAGAUAUUAGGAGGAAUACCGGUGGCGAAGGCGACUUUCUGGCCAUAACCUGACGCUGAGGUACGAAAGCGUAGGUAGCAAACAGG